AAAACCCUUCUCCAUUUCUUGGCAGCGGCGGCGGCGACGAGAUGGACGCGGCGAAGGCGAAGGAGCUGAAGCUGUUUGUGGAGCAGUGCCGGAAGAACCCCGUCAUACUGAGCGACCCCUCCAUCUCCUUCUUCAGAGACUACCUCGAGAGCAUGGGCGCCAAGCUGCCCCCCGCCGCCUAUGGGUCCGGGGAGUCACCACGUGGCGGCGUUGAGGAAGUGGUGGAUGAAAGCGAUGAGAAUGUUUCCGAUGAGGAUUUCAGUGAUGUAGGUGUCAAGCCAACAGAGCAUGAAUCUGAUGAGGAAAUUAUUGAAUCUGACAUUGAGCUUGAAGGAGAGACUGUAGAACCUGACAAUGAACCUCCUCAAAAAAUGGGCGACCCCUCUGUUGAGGUAACUGAAGAAAG
This 406-nucleotide unclassified non-coding RNA is filed under the name Hevea brasiliensis (rubber tree). Lineage: Eukaryota; Viridiplantae; Streptophyta; Magnoliopsida; Malpighiales; Euphorbiaceae. The record is from RNAcentral.